This 303-nucleotide ribosomal RNA is filed under the name uncultured bacterium. RNAcentral describes it as "partial 16S ribosomal RNA". It matches the Rfam family "Bacterial small subunit ribosomal RNA", at positions 507 to 807 of the family's 1533-position model. The record is from RNAcentral.
AGCAGUCGCCGCGGUAAUACGGAGGGUGCAAGCGUUAAUCGGAAUUACUGGGCGUAAAGCGCACGCAGGCGGUUUGUUAAGUCAGAUGUGAAAUCCCCGAGCUUAACUUGGGAACUGCAUUUGAAACUGGCAAGCUAGAGUCUUGUAGAGGGGGGUAGAAUUCCAGGUGUAGCGGUGAAAUGCGUAGAGAUCUGGAGGAAUACCGGUGGCGAAGGCGGCCCCCUGGACAAAGACUGACGCUCAGGUGCGAAAGCGUGGGGAGCAAACAGGAUUAGAUACCCGAGUAGUCCCUGUCUCUUAUAC